Molecule: ribosomal RNA, 305 nt
Filed under: uncultured bacterium
Lineage: Bacteria
Description: bacterial SSU rRNA
Rfam family: Bacterial small subunit ribosomal RNA
Source: RNAcentral
UUUGCCUACGGGAGGCAGCAGUGAGGAAUAUUGGUCAAUGGACGCAAGUCUGAACCAGCCAUGCCGCGUGCAGGAUGACGGCUCUAUGAGUUGUAAACUGCUUUUGUACGAGGGUAAACCCCGAUACGUGUAUCGGGUUGAAAGUAUCGUACGAAUAAGGAUCGGCUAACUCCGUGCCAGCAGCCGCGGUAAUACGGAGGAUCCGAGCGUUAUCCGGAUUUAUUGGGUUUAAAGGGUGCGCAGGCGGGAGAUCAAGUCAGCGGUAAAAUGUCGGGGCUCCACCCCGGCCGGCCGUUGAAACUGGU